Molecule: ribosomal RNA, 442 nt
Filed under: uncultured bacterium
Lineage: Bacteria
Description: partial 16S ribosomal RNA
Rfam family: Bacterial small subunit ribosomal RNA
Source: RNAcentral
CCUACGGGAGGCUGCAGUGGGGAAUAUUGCACAAUGGGCGAAAGCCUGAUGCAGCAACGCCGCGUGAGCGAUGAAGGCCUUUGGGUCGUAAAGCUCUGUCCUUGGGGAAGAAAAAAAUGACGGUACCCUUGGAGGAAGCCCCGGCUAACUACGUGCCAGCAGCCGCGGUAAUACGUAGGGGGCAAGCGUUAUCCGGAAUUAUUGGGCGUAAAGAGUGCGUAGGUGGUUUUGUAAGCGCAGGGUGAAAGGCAAUAGCUCAACUAUUGUAAGCCUUGCGAACUGUAAGACUUGAGUGCAGGAGAGGAAAGCGGAAUUCCUAGUGUAGCGGUGAAAUGCGUAGAUAUUAGGAGGAACACCAGUGGCGAAGGCGGCUUUCUGGACUGUAACUGACACUGAGGCACGAAAGCGUGGGGAGCAAACAGGAUUAGAUACCCUUGUAGUC